AUGCCUACGGGAGGCAGCAGUAGGGAAUUUUCGUCAAUGGGCGCAAGCCUGAACGAGCGAUGCCGCGUGAGUGAAGAAGGCCUUCGGGUCGUAAAGCUCUGUUGCGGGGGAAAAAAGGCAGCAUCAGGAAAUGGGUGCUGACUGAUGGUGCCCCGCCAGAAAGUCACGGCUAACUACGUGCCAGCAGCCGCGGUAAUACGUAGGUGGCGAGCGUUAUCCGGAAUCACUGGGCGUAAAGGGCGCGUAGGCGGUUUAAUAAGUCAGUGGUGAAAACUGAGGGCUCAACCCUCAGCCUGCCACUGAUA
This 305-nucleotide ribosomal RNA is filed under the name uncultured bacterium. RNAcentral describes it as "bacterial SSU rRNA". It matches the Rfam family "Bacterial small subunit ribosomal RNA", at positions 335 to 632 of the family's 1533-position model. The record is from RNAcentral.